UGAGGAAUAUUGGUCAAUGGGCGGAAGCCUGAACCAGCCAUGCCGCGUGCAGGACGACGGCCCUACGGGUUGUAAACUGCUUUUCCGGGGGAAGAAUAAGGCCCAUGCGUGGGCCGAUGCCGGUACCCCGGGAAUAAGGAUCGGCUAACUCCGUGCCAGCAGCCGCGGUAAUACGGAGGAUCCUAGCGUUAUCCGGAUUUACUGGGUUUAAAGGGUGCGUAGGCGGGCCCCUCAGUCAGCGGUGAAAGUCUGCGGCUCAACCGUAGGAUUGCCGUUGAUACUGGGGGUCUUGAAUUCGGUCAAGGUGGGCGGAAUGCGUGGUGUAGCGGUGAAAUGCUUAGAUAUCACGCAGAACGCCGAUAGCGAAGGCAGCUCACCGGGCCGACAUUGACGCUGAGGCACGAAAGCGUGGGGAUCAAACA
This 422-nucleotide ribosomal RNA is filed under the name uncultured prokaryote. Its description in RNAcentral is "bacterial SSU rRNA". It matches the Rfam family "Bacterial small subunit ribosomal RNA", at positions 355 to 774 of the family's 1533-position model. The record is from RNAcentral.